This 319-nucleotide ribosomal RNA is filed under the name uncultured Pseudomonadota bacterium. RNAcentral's name for it is "bacterial SSU rRNA". It matches the Rfam family "Bacterial small subunit ribosomal RNA", at positions 30 to 351 of the family's 1533-position model. The record is from RNAcentral. Lineage: Bacteria; Pseudomonadati; Pseudomonadota.
AUUGAACGCUGGCGGAAUGCUUUACACAUGCAAGUCGAACGGCAGCACGGGGCAACCUGGUGGCGAGUGGCGAACGGGUGAGUAAUACAUCGGAACGUGCCCAAUCGUGGGGGAUAACGUAGCGAAAGUUACGCUAAUACCGCAUACGAUCUAAGGAUGAAAGCGGGGGAUCGCAAGACCUCGCGCGAAUGGAGCGGCCGAUGUCAGAUUAGGUAGUUGGUGGGGUAAAGGCUCACCAAGCCGACGAUCUGUAGCUGGUCUGAGAGGACGACCAGCCACACUGGGACUGAGACACGGCCCAGACUCCUACGGGUGGCAG